UUGGGGAUGAAAACAACAGCUCACUGUCCUUUUGCAAAUGGAAUUUACAGGCCCCAUUUCAUGCAUGAGAACACUGAGGCUUAGAGAGGUGGGGUUACUUGAACAAGGUCACAAGGCUGGUUAAAGUAGGGAAAAUAAAUGAAAUAUUUUACAGUUCAUGGCAUAAGAAUACGCCAGUUUCAGGCAUGUAGAUGAUGAUGAUGGUGGUGGUGGAGAUAAUGAUAAUGAUGAUGACAGGAACUGAAGGGCACAAUUAAGGCCUUAAAGAUCUCCUGGAUGUGGUCACUGUAACCUGUCAAGGCAUGACCUGGAAUCUUUUACAGCAUGGCUUCUCUCCUAGAAUCACAGAGUGGCCAAGAGUGAGGACGUUGACACUACACAGACCUGGGGCAGACCCGGCCCUGCUGCUGAGUGGUUGACUGGCCCCAGUUUCUCCACCUGGGAAACAGGCGGCCUUCUCUCUCUCUACGUCAUCAAGUCAGUGCAGAGCGCAUGGAGCAGCAACGCCCUGCCCAGCUCUGGGCUGCCCGCUGCGUGCUGAGGAUCCAGAGACAAACCAGCCAUGCUCCUGGCUGAGCGGAAGGUCCUCCCGAGCCUGCACAGUCUGAACUUGCUGAGCAGCCUGAGCUGGCGAAGAUGCCCUCCUUUAGAGGAGCGUGCAGACUUGAUAAGGGAAACAGAUGGGCCAACAGAUAAUUCCCAGCAGAGGUGUGUUCAAACAUGAGCCCUGGGGACUAGGUACUAAGCAGAUGGAGGAACAGAGAUGUAAGUAACUUACCCAAGAUCACACAGCCAGCAGAUCUGCACCGAGGCAGUGUGUCCAGCUUUUUAUCGUCAUGGUAUCCAGGUCUACUUUGGAAACGAGGCGGCUAUGCCUCAAAAGGGAAGGGUUCCCAGAGAGAGUGAUGUUGGACGUGGGCCUUGAGGAGGAAGUAGAGAAGUUUUAGAGGUGUGAAAACUGGACAUCAUUUAGCUGGGUCCUGUGCUUCAGGGUAUCUCACAGGCAGCACACAAGGCUUCAUCUGGGCUAUACUCAUCAGAAGGCUGGAUUGGGGAAGAUCUGCUUCCAAGUUUACUUACAUGGUUGUUGGUGGGAUUCAGUUCCUGGUAGGCUGCCAGCUUUAGCUCCUCAUUUCCUGAUGGCUGGAGGGUUCCCUCAGUUCCUUUCCAUGUGGGCCUCUCCAGCAUGGCUGCUUGCUUCAUCAAAGUGUACAAGAAGGGAGACAGCAAUAGGAACAUGUCAGCAAGAUGGAAUCCACAGUCUUUUUAAAGCUAACCAUGGAAGUGAUAUUCCAUCACUUUUGGUGUAUUCUGUUUGUUAGGAACAAGACACUAGGUCCAGCCCACCACUCAAGGUAUGGGAUUACACACGGCAUGAAUACUAUGGGGUGGGGAUCACUGGAAAUUAUGUCAGCAGCUAUCUGUCACACAUGAGAGAAGUGGAGAUGGUAGUCAUAAUAAUAGUCAUCAUCAUCAUAAUAAUAAGGCUGGUGAGGAUAGCCAGCAUUUAUUGGGUGUUCUUGAUGCAUCAGGCACUGGGCUAAAUCCCUUCUAUGCAUUGUCUCCUUUAAUCUCCUCAUCACUCUCAUUAACUUCCCUGAGUUACUACAGCAAAGAGAUUAGGACCAGACUCUGUUGUUUCCACUCCGAAGUCCAUCCCUUUACAUGAUGCAGAUCAUUGAUAAGAAUCCACUGAGCUGCUGAGGCUCCAGGAAAGACCUGAUUGAGAGAGGAGUCUGAUAAACGAAGCUGAACUCACUGCUCCUCAGAAAACUGCAAAUGAACACAACCAGAAGCCAUUUCUUACCCAUCAGAUUGGAAAAGAAAAUAGCAUUGAAAUCAUAUAGCAGCAUCAUCCAGACCUGCAGAAUCAUACGUGAUCAUAGCCAGUUCACACUGAAAAAAGCCUUGUAGGAGAUUCGCCAACCUAAUCAUUCAGCUUACAGGUGCCUGAAACAAAGAAAAGAAAUGCAGAUAAUUGGAUCUUCAUGACAUUUUCCCAACUGGCCACUUUCCCUGUAACAAGACCAAGCCUGUCUCUUCCAUUGUACUCUCGUGAGCUACCUGGGUCAGAACCUGAAAUCUUGGCGCAGAAGUCCUGUGGCCUGCCUAUAAACUUCUCAUUCCCGGCAGCUGGCACAUGCAUGGCCCAAUAAAUAUUUCUUGAUUGAAUGGAAGGAGCUGUGAAUAGUGGCCUCCUCAAGCAAAGGACAUUUUAUCUCCCAAAGGGAAAUCUACUUUGUUGAUAUGAAAGUGAGCUUCUUAAUAGGUCUACGGGGCAACAUUUUGCUAACCCCAUUCAAAUUAUAACAGACUUCAAAGUCAUAAAGGCAGUAAUAUGCUUCCUUUUAAGUGUGUAAUUUGUAUUUUUUUACACCCAGGAAUGGAAAACAGGGAGUGAAAUAUCCCCCAAUUAUUAUUUUGUGCUUUUGAGGCAGGAUGGCCCACUCACCUGUGGGGACUCUGGUGGCCAAGCACCUCCCACCUCAUUCUUGGCAAUUGUUUUCAUCUGCCUCCCUUCACACUGGCCCUAGCUCAGGUCUGGAAUCUUCCCAGGGUCUGACCUCUGAGUGUCUGUCUCAUGCAAUUCUGCUGCCCUGGUAUUGACUCUCAGGACACAGAAGUAUACUCUCUGCCACAUUCAUGACCACCCUGGGUGACGUGUCAAGGCAUCUUAGUGCAGCCCUGAGUCCCUUGGAGGGAAAUGGCCCCAGUCUGCUUCCUGUUUGAGGUAGCUCUGUUCUGGAUCACUUGGUCCUCCCCUCUCCCUCCUGCCACUGCUGAUUGCAUUGUGGUGAUCACCCCAAGGUCAUCCCAAAGGCAGGCUGCCGUGUAGAGCCUGGCUUGGCACAGGAGGCCCCAGCCAAUGAUCUCUGAUGCUGACCUCAUGCUCCAGGUGCCUGAAACAAAGAAAAGAAAUGCAGAUAAUUGGAUCUUCAUGACAAUUUCCCAACUGGCCACUUUCCCUGUAACAAGACCAAGCCUGUCUCUUCCAUAUGGGUCAGCCAUAUCCCACCCACUCCUCCUGGGAUUUGACUUGGGGAAUGUGGACAGAAUCACACAGUCAGUAGAAGUUGGAAAGUAGGCGGAAGUGGCCACAUGGGGUAGGGACAUAUCAGAGUUAUGAUGAAUCAGAAGCAGAAGCCCCAAGUUGAAGAAGAGAUACAAAGCUUGGAAGCAGGAAGAGAUGGAGCGGACACACAAAGGAAUCCAACACUGGAGAACGGCAACGUAAAGGUGGCGUGCUAGGGGAAAGCUCCAGAAUUCCUGCAGCUGGGCGCUGGAGCCACCCUGAACUUUCAAAGACCUCCCUAUUCCAGUCUCCACAAUCCCAGGUCCUGGUAUGUCCCUGGAUUUGGGGGGAGAUUCUGGCUCCUUUGUAGCACCACAAUAAACCCUUAUUGCCUGAGUUA
RNAcentral lists this long non-coding RNA (3413 nucleotides) under Homo sapiens (human). RNAcentral's name for it is "HSALNT0330946". The record is from RNAcentral. Lineage: Eukaryota; Metazoa; Chordata; Mammalia; Primates; Hominidae.